GUGUGAAGAGGCUGACAGCGGCGUGGCCACCACCCAGGAUGGAGAGAAAGGCACUGUGAGGUGUUAAUGGAAAAAUCCAACUUCCUUUUCUUCCAAAGAUGAUGACUGAAACCAAAGUGGAGCUUUCCCUUGUGAAGUGAAAGCAAAGUUUUAAAAUUUUUUCUCCUCUGCAAGAAAAUAUAUUUCAGAAAAUCUCUAUCUCAAAAAUGAAGCAAUUAAGAACUGUCUGGCUGUGAGGAUCUGGCCUCAACUUGACUUAAAGCAACAACUUCAGUUACAUAUCAAGAUGAAACUUUCUGAGAUGCAAGUGGGUGUUAAAUGGUUCAGCAAAGCCAAGCCAGAGCAGUUGGUGUGCUUUGAAAUGAAGCAACAUUGGAAAAAUGAAAUCUACUGAAAGAUCACUACGUGUUUCAAAGAACUGACUAGAACCAGAACUCUUCAGAAAAGAAUGUGCUAAAGGUUUGUCCUUGAGAAGUUUCCAAGCCAAGACACUCCUAGGAGCACUUCCCAUUGAGGCCGAAAGGCUCAUCCACUUACAGCGAUUCAUGGGAAAAGAGGACAGCACCCUCAUCUUUGGUCCAAGAACACAAUCCUGAGUGACACAGGAUUGCCCUGAAAGUCAACAGCAUCCGUCUUACAAAAAUCAACAACACUCGCUUUUCAAACUUCCAAAGAAUUUACUGGUCUGGUUUGGCCUUUUGGUGCCACAUUCCAUUCCAGAACCCCAGCUAAAAUGUUCUCAAGGGCUGACCAGAGAUUCCUCCUCCUUUCUCUGGGCUGGUACAACUUGACCGCUGCUUGACAUCAAGGUCAACUGGAGACUGGGAACAGUUAUGUAACUGUGUUGUAAAUUGAAUUAGAGCUGUACAUGAGCCCAGACCAAGUAACCAGUGCAGCUCCAGGCAAGAGCAGCAACAUGUCCCCCAGAGACAGCAUUGGAGGAACAGCUUACUGGGGAAUGGAAAAAGGGUAUCACAGGGUAAAAAAGAAACCGUCUCUUUCCAGUCCUUCUAAAGUCUGGGCAGUUGGCUGCCCCAUCACAUGUGGAAUAAGAGGGGGGCAUUAAGUGCAGAGGGAGCUGGUGUCAGUAUGGCAGGCAAACACUGAGGAAAAAUCAGCAUACAUAGUAUACACAAAGAGAAUGAGAAAAAAAUAUUUGUAACACCAGAACAGACACCACCCAGAUGAAAGAAAUAAGAAGGCUUACACGUGGAGAGGAAAAAAGCCUCUGGCAGUGGUCAGUGGACUGUAGAAUGAGCAAGAAAGGCAUGACCAUCCUCCUACCAGUGACUGGUCAUUCUGGAGAGGAUACAUGUGCACAGAUCUGGAAAACCAGGGCUGAAAAGCCUUUUGACACCUUUGGUGACCUAGGACAUGGUCCCCCAAUGUAAGACAUCAUGCUAGAUAGAGGGGAAAAUAGUAAGUUUUCUUCAAAGGCAAAUGAAUACAACUUGAGAUAACUUUUGAAAAGAAAAAAGGUACUGGGACCAUGGCAUGACUUUGAUCUGUGCUAACAUGACCGCCUGCAGAAGCAGAUGAGGAGAGGCAGAAUAAUGUAAAGCUGAAAGCUUGGAGUCACCAAACCAUAGAUAGCUUCACCUCUUACCAAGUGCUUGAUGUGUGGCUAGGUUCUUAAAUCCCCUACAAGUUCCAGCUUCCUCAUCUGUAAAAAACGAGCAAGUUAAGACUGGGUGAGUUAAUAGAUGUAAAAGUACUUAGUACAGUACUCUACAAAUAGUAAGUGCCCAAUAAAUGUUAACUGUUAUUAUUAUGUAUUCUGUCCUUCACUAUGUUAGGCCCUGGGAUGUAGUGGUGACAGGCAAGGCUGCUGCUCUUGUGGUUCUUACAUGAAACAAGGGAACAGGGAAAUAAACAAAAUAAAUGCAGACUAUGAAAAGUGCUAAAGAAUAAAUAAAUAGAGUAAUAUAAUAGAAGAAAAUGCCUCUCUGAGGAGGUGACAGUUAAACUGAGACUUGAGCAAUCAUCAGGGGCACAGGGUUCCCAGAAGAGAAAAAAAUAAGUGCAAACUCCCUGUAACACAAAAAAAAAAGAGCUUACUGUGUCCAAAAAUUAAAACGAACCCUAAAGUGGUUUGAGAAUAGUAACAUGGGCUUUGGUUAGGCUGGAGCUAGGGCUCACCUAGUAGAGUAUAGAAAGGCAACACCCCAUCUCCUGCAAAUCUAUUUUCAUCCAUUAAUUUACACGGCAUCUGAAGAACAUGCUGAAUUAAAGCCUGUUAACCCUUGGGAUACAGUCAUCAAAUGUAUCAGAUAUAUUGAGAUAACCCCAACAGAGGGGAUAAGUCUUUACAAAGUAAAUCUAUGCAUUUCAGCAUUUCUUACAAUUGCCAAAAUAUGGAAGCAACCUAAGUGUCCCUCAGGAGACGAAUGGAUCAAGGCAAUGUGGCCUUCAGACUCAGACUGGAACUGCACCGUUGGCUCUCCUGGGUGGGUCUCCAGCUUGCUGACCACAGACCUUGAGACUUCUCAGCCUUUAGAAUCAUGGAAGCCAAUUCCUUAUAAUAAUAUAUAUCCUUUUCCUAGUCUGUGGACUUUUCCCAGCUCCAGACAGACAACCUUCUAUAAACUCCAGGAUGCUCCAUCAAUGCCGUCUGGACUCUACAGAUUUUGACCCUGAAGUAAAGUAGGAAAGGCUAUGAGGACAUGUUAAAUGUUGUACUACCGCCUGAAGCCUUUUCUUCUUUAAAUUUUUCAACAAGAGUUGAAUGCACACGUGGAGCUUAAUUGGACAACAACUUUUCUCCUCUUCUGUGGGAUCCCGUCAGUGCUUUAAGCAAUGAGAAGGCAGCUCAUUUCCAAGUUUGUGUGGUAAAUUUGGGGCAAGUGGGAGAAAAGAAAGAAAGGCUGAGUCUUAUAGGGUGUGAUUUGGUUCUAGACAUGCUUAUGUUACUUUUUAUAAGAUUAUCCAUUUGACUAGAUUUCUUUCCUGCUGACAAAAGAGGCAAUUUCUACAUAUAAAAUAAAUCUGAUUAAAACUCUUUCUCUGUUCCUGUCAAGGUAAUAGAUGCAGACCCCAGGAACAGAAUAUAUUUGGAUUCCUAGUGUGUGCAAAUGAUUGUUUAUGUGAUAUCUGGUGCCAAGACCCACAGACGGCUCCUGUACUGCCCUGUAAAAAUAACGGGAAUGGAAAGCUUUUCCUUAGGCAUAAAAAGUUAAUUUUAUUUCUUAUUCUCUUUCACAGCGGUAACUAUUACUUUGUAAUUUUCCUGGUAUUUUGUUGGCAGCCAAAAAUAACACAAGUAAUAGUCCUUGCCUACAAUAUGCAGCUCCGAUUCAUUUUGCUUAGCUCAAGUUGCCUCCUAUAAUAAAGGUGGUGGCACUAGACCUUAAGCAUAGGUCUAAACUAGAGCAAAUUUCUUAAGCCCGUUUUUAAUCAGAAAGGCAGAACAAGUUCAAAUCCUUUCCAUUCCUUUAUCCUAGUAGGGUUUUUAGAACACACCAAAUAGCAAGAAAUGAAUGCAGCUUUAGUAAUUAACAUUGAUAACUCUUCUCAGCCUCCAACUGAGUGAACAGCCUCUUUCAGGCCAGUCAAGAACCAUUCUGUAUAAUCCUAUCUGCAUGUUAUCUUGACAGUGGGAGAUAGUGAGUCAUAGACAAAGGCCAAGGUGUUGGGCCUGAGCUAACCAAGUGCGUUGAGAAUGGAGGCAGUCUCCCAGGAUCUGGGACAGGUGUGAGGAGCCACCAGGAGCCAGGGACCAUUAAGUGGAUGGGUUAGUCAAAGCAUUACUUCAUAAAUCCAGGCGGCCACAGAGGUCUGCGUAUUUACAGACACCACUUGUCAAGAGAAGUGGCAGCCUUGAAACCAGAAGGCACAAACACUGAAAAAUCAGGUGGUUCAGGCUGCUAAUGGUCCUAUUAGGCAGUCACGCAUCAGAGGACCCAUGGUAGACAACAGAGCACCACAAAGGCCCCAUGUGGGGCAUGGCUUCUAUGCUAGAAUCCACCUCUAUGCAGACAAAGGACUAUCAUGUGCUUCUUCUCUUAAACAAAGAAAUCCAUGUGUGGCUUGUCCAGGGCAUUCAGAUGCAAACAAGCAACUUAGACCACCAAAAAGGGAUAUGGCAUUGGCCAGGGAUAUGCAUUCCUGAAAAUGUAAAACAUUACUUUGUGCCUCCUUUACUUAAAGCAGUUAGUGAGUAACUAAGUUACGGAGAAGCUUAGAAACUAAAACACUCUGGCUUGCUUUGAAUGUGGCCAUUUUUACAGGUAAGAAAGCUGGGACCCAGAAAAAUGCACUGAUUUACCCAAGGAAGCAGAGCUGGGAACAGAAUACGAGGCUUCUAAUCUACUGAUCAUUUCACUGUGUCACACUAUUUAAGAUGUAGAAACAGCUGAAUUCAUCUUGUCAACUCAGAAUCCUUUAGUAUCUGUGUCCAGAGGAGGAUUUGCCUCCACUCUAAGGGCUUUGGGUUUGUCUGGGAAGGGCUUAUUUUUCACUUGCUUUCUUAGGUAGGAAAUCAGGGUGGGAGAUCUCAGUCAGCAUCAGUGCCUUCCUUCCUGUGGAUCUGGAUGUCUUUUAAUGCACUCAUGAGCCUAGUGUGAAGCCUGGCCACAGAGAUCCUGAGAAUUGUACUCAAGAGAGUUUGAGCUUCAGAUGUCAUGGGUGCUCCCUGUUCUAGAGAUAAUGGUGUAAAGUGACACAGACACAGCAUGUGCUGGCUGGAGGACAGAUAAAAAUAACAAAUAGUCUUAAUUGAGUACAGUGAUUCAAUUUUGCAAGACAGGCAGCAGCUAAAGAGAUCUAUUGGCACUUUAUAGGUAAUGUUGAGCGAUAAAAUAAUAGUGAUGAUUAUGCAGAGGACGAAGAGUAGCAAAAAUUGCAGUCUCUGUGUCUUGCACAGUACUUAGCCCAUAAUUAAUAUAAAUUAUGUAUCUUAGCCGACAGUACUUAGAUGCAUAAUUAAUAUUACGGAAUCGGAUAAACUGAACUGAUGACUAUGACCCAUAAUCCAUAAUCAUGACCCAUGACCAUGACAGGGAUGGUGCAAGAUUAGUGUGAAUUCUGUUUCAGUAGGUGAGGACUAGCACAGACUGGAGAUAAAACUGUGGUUUGGCAUUCUUCCAUUUUUACCUUGCUCAUUUUUUAAGGCAGGCAGUUUGUACCUCAUUGAUUUUCACUGCUCAUCAAGUCCUAUUAGCCUAUUCAUUAGUGAUGGCUUCAUUCCCUUCCCACAGUCUGUCUCCUGAAUGACACUUCCUUGUGUUAAGGCUGUGCUUAGCCCUAGCCAUGAUUGCUGGGUAUCGACAGAAUGUGGCAUGACCAGCAGGGCCUGCUGGCUGGCAAGUAGCACCCUUCUCCAACAACACAUUGGUACCCACAGAAAGAAGGUGGCAAUUUCCAUUACAAGGAAGAUCAGGUUGUCAACUGAUAUUAUAGUUCCAGUCUCUCUCUCUCUCUUUCUGUCUGCCACCCACACACCUUCACACUCACUUGUCUAAAUAUAAAUAUGAACACAUUAUCAUAACCCCAAGCCUGUUCUUGCAGCUAAAUUUAUUUUCUCACUGGAACCACAGUUCACUUGUCAGCCAAACUAGAGGCCCAGAGUCAUCUCUCUUUGUUUUGCUCUUCCCCACAUCUGAUCAGGCACCAAGCUCCAACCAUGCUUCCUUAGACACCACUCUUGAGACCUCCCCUUCUCUGUUUUUCCACUUCUAUUGCUCUAGUAUAGUUACUAUAUUAUACUGUCAUCUUUCACCUGGACUUAAAGACUCCAGAUAGUUCCAUCUUUCUAAUUCCUCUUCCCCAGUGCAAAGUGAGGAUGCAGAGUACCUGUGGAAAGGCUAAGGGAAGACAGACUCCAGGCAUGAGAGAGAGGAAUACCAGCAAAUAUGUAUUGAACACUUAAUGUGCCAGGGCAUUGAUUUACUAAUAUUUACAUUUGUUUUUACUUAAUUCUCACAAAAACCUGAAUGUACAUACUAUAAUUAUCUCCAUUUUAUGGAUAAGAGACUCAAGGCUAAGAAAUUUUAAGUGAUGUAUAAGAUCGUAUAUAAGGAAGUGGCAGAGCUGGACUCAAACCAGGGGUCCAGUUUGUCUAACUCUUAGGUCCGUGUCAUUGUCAUCACCACAUUCUACCUUUCUAGUUGCUCUAUACUAGAGGUUAUCACCUAAGGGGUUUGUUAAAACUGUGUUUUAACAAACACAGAUUACUGGACACAACCCCCCAGAGUUUCUGAUUCAAGUCUGGGAUGAGGCCUGAGAAUCUGAGAAGUUGCAUGUUUAUCAAAGUCCCAAGAGAUGAUGAUGCUGCUGAACCAGUGACCACACAUGAAAGCCUUCGCCCCAGCCUUUGGCAUUUAUUUUUGGCACUUUCUCCUCAGGCACAGCACAAGUGGUUCAAACUUCAGGCUUACAUAUCAGACCAGUUUGAGUCCUGGAUCUGCUACUCAGUAGCUCUGUGUCUGUGGGCCACUUUAUUUAACCGCACUAAGCCUCAGCUACCCCUUCUACAAAAUGGGAAUAGAACCUACCUUGCAAAGAUGUUUGAGGACGGGGAAUCAUGUAUAUAAAACUCAGAGCUCUAUGAUUUGCACAGAUUUGAACUUAAUAAAUGUUAGCUGUUUAGGAAUUUACAAGUGUAAGAAUUUUAUUUUUUUUAUUUCAUUUAACUUUUAUUUCUGUUCGUUUCUCUCUGCCUUUUUUGUUUCUCUCACUGCCUCAGAUGGCUUUGCAUUUGAUUUUCCUUACAUUUGGAAUUUUGUUCUCCAGACCUUUGCAUAGCUCACUUCUUCUCACCACUCAGGUUUCAGCUGAAAUGUACCAGUUAAGGAAGGCUUUGAGCCUAGAUGAGGGUACCCUUCUCCUAUCCGCUACCCACGGCACUUUCUCAUUGUAUGCUCAGUGGGUGGAUUUUUACAUUGUGAUCCAAUUUCUGGAAUAGUAAUAGACAUUUUCAGGUUUUCUACUUCUUCUACAAUCAAUUUUAUGUUUUGGUUUUAUAGAAAAUUGUCCAUUUUAUCCGUUUUCAAAUUUACUGUCAUAAAUUCAUUCUGUGACAUUAACUUCUUCUUAUUCUCUACGAUAUCAGUCUUGUACCCCUUUCACUUUCUAAUAUUCUUCGCACCUUCUCUCCAUUUUUGUUGAUCAUUCCUGCCAAGGUUUGUCUAUUUAACUAGGCCUUACAAUGACCCACUUUCUGAUAUGUUUGAAUUCUCUUUAUUAUAUCCUUGUUUUUACUUAUUUCUAUGGUUUAUUUCCUUUCUUUCUUCUUUCUGUCUUCUUCCCCUGACUUAUUAAGUUGUAUACUUAGGUCUUUAAUUAUUGAUGUUUCUCCAUUUAUUCUAUGAGCAUUUAAAACUGUCAACAUUCUUUGAAUCUCAAUCAUGGUGGCAUGUUUCUUAUAUGACUUUCAAUACGUUUGAGCUACUUGAGCAAGUAAAACCUGUUGGAAUUCAGAAGGCCCUCAGUUCAGACUCAGCAGAGGAUUUUCUUUGGCUUUGGCCAGGUGCCCAGGCACUGCCAGACUGGGACUACUGUGUUAAUUUCUCGGUUUAGGGUUUCCCAGCUCAUGCAGGUGUUAUAAAUUUAAACCUCAAACCCACACAAGGGCAGGGCUGUGGUGAUGAAUUCUCGAGAGAGACAAUUAUUUUUUUCUUCCUCCUAGAUUUAAAACAAAGAAACAGUUCUCUCGUCAUCUCCUUAAAGGCAGUUUCACUGAGAGGGUAGCACUUCAGGGCCCUGAAUUUAUGGGACUUUCCCCUUCUCACGCUUCUCCUUACACAGGCUCCAUCUUCUGCUCCAUCUUCGCCUCCUCUCCUGGGUGUUGCCAUUACAAUUCCAUAUUGGUAGAUGGCCUCAGCGAGAUUCAGUGUGAAGUAUUAUUCUAAAUAAUUGUUUAGUUUUUAUCUUUUGAUUUUUAGGAUUUUCCUUACUUUCUUGCUAGUUUGGCUGUGCAUUCAAAAAAACUCUCUAUUCUUUCUGAAUUGUAUGUUGGGAUAGUACAAAAGAGCUUAUUUUGAGACUAUUUAGUCUGCCAUCUUACCAGAAAUUGAAGUGACUCUCAUGACUCUUUAGCACAUCACUGUCUUUUAUCUCCUCUAUAGGCUCACUAAUGCCUGAAUUUAUUUUACUUAUUUAUGAGUUCAUUUUCUGUUCCUCUGUUGCCAAGUUAAAAGUAAAUAACCUGAUGACAGGGUCUCCAUUCUGUACACUGGUAUAGCCUCAGUAUCUAGAAAAGCUGUUGGCGUGAAGUAAGACUCAAUCAAAAUUUGUUGGUUGAACGACUGAUAAGUAAAUCAUGGAGUAUACAUAUGUGGACUAUAUCCUAUGCGAACUUUAAAAGUAACUAUUUAUAAAAUAUCUCUGACACAAUAAGGUAGAAAGUCAGGUUAUUUAAUAGCAUGUGUAACAUAACCUCUAUUAUAAAACACGUGUGUGCAUAUGUGUGUUUAUGUUUGUAUUUAAAACUAUCUGGAAGAAUAUGCACAGAAUAUUAACUGUUUAUCUCUGGUUAGUGAGACUUUUCAUAAUUUUUCUUUCAUCCUAAUACUUUAUACUGAACACAUAUUAGUAUUUUUUGUAAUAAUUAGAGGAGGGAAAAAACAUCUUAUAAAGGUCUGGGAUAUUUGCUACCUUAAUUUCAAGGUGCAUAUUACAAAUAAAGCUUCAUUUUAUCUUUCUUCCUAAGGACUCAGUCAUAAGUUACUUGUGUUUGUUUCUACUUUUCUUGGAAGUAAAAAUAAGCCAUUUUCAGGCUUCUUCUCUACUAUUAUUCUGCUCAGUAUAGGAUGGUUUUUUAAAAACAACACUAAUAUGUGUUAAUUUAUCACUACAGGCACCAGGAUUAUGCAAGGAUCAGCUAGAACCUCUAUUCUGGAUUUGAUACCUUUAGCAACUUUAGUUUUGUUACUUUGAUGUAAGGAAAGAGAGGACACCAAAAUACGUCCCACACUGGCCUGGGGAGAGGAAAGGAGUGUUAGAGAUCCUUUUUCUCCUCUACCACUACAGUUUUUGUCAGCAUAAAUUUGGACUAUGUUAUAUCUUUAUGCUAGGUGUCACCUAUUCUUGCUUAAGGAAUAGUCAGCAAGACUGUUAAUUAAUCCUCUUCCUUCUCAGCUGCCUGCCAUUUAUAUCAAUGAUAAUGUCAGGAGCUGAGGACACAAAGGUGAGUAACAAUCAGACCCUGCCCUUGCAUCCCACAGUGAUGUCAAAGAACAUAAUAAGGAUGUCGUGUCAUAAGUGUUAUGUAUGAAGUACUUUUGGAAUUCAGAAAAAGCUCUUGUUGGGUGAAGACGAAGCAAUCAUCUGCCUCCUGUAUAUUUUUCAGCCUUGUUCAUUACACUUGCCUCUUGUGCUCUAGCAACACUAUUUCUCAGUUUCCACAAACUACAGGCCAGGGUUUUUGCUCAUAUUCAUACUGUAUCCUCUACCUGGAGUUUCCCUUUUUUCAUUUUCCAGGCAAAUUCCCACUUAACCUUCACAACUUGCAUCAGGCACCAACUCCUUCAGGAAUCUUUCUUUUUUUUCUUUUCUUUUCUUUCUUUCUUUUCUUUCUCUUUCUUUCUUUCUUUCUUU
RNAcentral lists this long non-coding RNA (9534 nucleotides) under Homo sapiens (human). RNAcentral describes it as "non-protein coding lnc-MAST4-5:14". Lineage: Eukaryota; Metazoa; Chordata; Mammalia; Primates; Hominidae. The record is from RNAcentral.